This is a long non-coding RNA of Camarhynchus parvulus, 1593 nucleotides long. The record is from Ensembl. NCBI's taxonomy places the organism in Eukaryota, Metazoa, Chordata, Aves, Passeriformes, Thraupidae.
CCUCGCAGCCGCUGCAUCCCCCCCACGCCGGGUACCACACCCCCGCAUCCUCCAUCUCCCGCAUCCUCCGUCCCUCCUCACAUCCCCCGCAUCCCUCCACGCCCUCCGCAUCCCCGCACCCCACGCAUCCCUCCCUACCCCGUAUCCUCACUCCCCCCCCCGAUCGCAGCUCCCCCCCCCGUUCCGCAGCCCAAUCAGGGCCGCUCGGAGGAAUUCAAACCCCGGCCCCGCAAGCGCCGGCGGCGGCUCCGCUCCGCUCCCGGGCCGGGCAGGCUGCGCCGUGGAGAGGCGGCGGGGCCGGUCCGGAUGGGCUCGGGGAGCGGCGGAGCGGGCGCGGCCCCUGCCCGCCGCCCGGAGCGCAGGAGCUCUGGGCUCGCCCAGGAGCCGAUCCCGAGGGGUUGCCCAUGGAAUAGGCGCUUUUCCAGGUGCCUGGGCACACGAGAGGCUGAAGUUGGUCGCCCCGGGGCACCCGAACCUGCCCUGCCCUGGAGCCCCCGGCCUCUGCCAUGAAUGAUGCAUCCACCAUGGAUUAUGAACUGCUCUCCCCGUCCCUGGUGGAGCACCCCGCCGGCGCCGCGGGCAUGGAUGCCGAGCAGAAAACUGUCUUUGCCUUCGUCAUCUUCCUCCUGGUGUUCCUGGUGAUGCUGAUGGUGCGCUGCUUCCGCAUCCUGCUGGACCCCUACAGCCGCAUGCCCGCCUCCUCCUGGACGGACCACAAGGAGGGCUUGGAGCGGGGCCAGUUCGACUACGCCCUGGUGUGAGGGGAGCCCGGGCCGAGCUCCGGCCCCGCUCCCCCUCCAUCCCUCCCUCCUUCCCUCCCUCCCUCCGCAGGGAUGCUCCGGGCAGGGGGGCAAGCAGGGGGUCCGGCCCCGGGGAGGUUUUCUAGGGGUUUCUCUCUUUUCUAAGCACUUUUCAGUUCUCUCGGCAGCCCGCGGGACGCUGGGGGUUGGACGGGGGGCCUGGACGGGGACCCCGCUGCCCCCCGUGCCCCCGGGCACCGCGGACGGGGCAUGGCGGGACCUGCCCUCGGCCCGCGGGGCCCCUGGGCUGGGCUCUGCCCGGUGCCAGGCCCGAGCUUUGACCCCCGUGCCCCCGCUGCCCCCCGUGCCCCCGGCAGUGCCCCCGUGGUCAGUGCGUGUCUGUGUGUCCUGUAGCUGAGCUGUGUCCCUCAGGGGUUUCUCGGCACCGGCCCCCAGUGCUGGCUUUGUUCCCCCUCUGUGCCACUCCCGAGCCCCCCAAAAGGGAGGGGAGGGUGGAGACCCCCCCUGUGCAGCCCCCCUUGGCCUCCGGCCCUGUCCCUGCCCAGUUGGUGACACCGGGCUGGGCGAGGGGCAGUCCUGGCCUGGGGACACCAGGACGGGUCAGGGGUCCCCAAAACACCCGGGAGAGGCUCCUGGGGCAUCUCUGCCGGGGUGUCCGGCCCUUCCCGGGCUCUCCCAGGGCUCUGGAAGUGGCCGAGGGGCUGCCAAGGGCCGUGGUGGGCAGCGGGAGGGCCCUGCCAAGGGAUUUGGGCCCGGGGGGGAGGGAGAACCUCGCCCCCCUCCAUGGACGUGAAGGGAUUUGGAAAUAAAGCCGCACCGUGCCGACCCCAGC